GACGUAGGAGGCGAGCGUUGUCCGGAUUCAUUGGGCGUAAAGAGCACGCAGGCGGUUUGGCAAGUCGGAUGUGAAAACCGGAAGCUCAACUUCUGGCCUGCAUCCGAUACUGCCCGACUAGAGGUAGGUAGGGGAGAUCGGAAUUCCUGGUGUAGCGGUGAAAUGCGCAGAUAUCAGGAAGAACACCUAUGGCGAAGGCAGCACUCUGGGACGGUACUGACGCUGAGACGCGAAAGCGUGGGGAGCGAACAGG
Molecule: ribosomal RNA, 253 nt
Filed under: uncultured bacterium
Lineage: Bacteria
Description: partial 16S ribosomal RNA
Rfam family: Bacterial small subunit ribosomal RNA
Source: RNAcentral